UCUGGUCUUGGGACACUGUCAGGUGGGCAGUUUGACUGGGGCGGUCGCCUCCCAAAAGGUAACGGAGGCGCUCAAAGGUUCUCUCAGUACGGUCGGAAAUCGUACGUAGAGUGUAAAGACAAAAGAGAGCUUGAUUGCAAGACAUACAGGUCGAGCAAGGAUGAAAAUCGGACUUAGUGAUCCGGUGGUUCUGCGUGGAAGGGCCAUCGCUCAACGGAUAAAAGCUACCCUGGGGAUAACAGGCUUAUCUCCCCCAAGAGUCCACAUCGACGGGGAGGUUUGGCACCUCGAUGUCGGCUCAUCACAUCCUGGGGCUGUAGUAGGUCCCAAGGGUUGGGCUGUUCGCCCAUUAAAGUGGUACGCGAGCUGGGUUCAGAACGUCGUGAGACAGUUCGGUCCCUAUCCGUCGCAGGCGUAGGAAAUUUGAGAAGACCUGUCCUUAGUACGAGAGGACCGGGAUGGACGUACCUCUGGUGUACCAGUUGUCCUGCCAAGGGCAUGGCUGGGUAGCUAUGUACGGAAUGGAUAAGCGCUGAAAGCAUCUAAGCGCGAAGCCAACUUCAAGAUAAGAUUUCCCACCGCAAGGGUAAGACCCCAGAAAGACUAUCUGGUUGAUAGGUCGAAGGUGUAAGUGUAGCAAUGUAUUUAGCUUAUCGAUACUAAUAGGUCGAGGACUUGACCAAUAUU
This 687-nucleotide ribosomal RNA is filed under the name Clostridioides difficile. Its description in RNAcentral is "bacterial LSU rRNA". It matches the Rfam family "Bacterial large subunit ribosomal RNA", at positions 2239 to 2925 of the family's 2925-position model. The record is from RNAcentral. Lineage: Bacteria; Bacillati; Bacillota; Clostridia; Peptostreptococcales; Peptostreptococcaceae.